GUGGGGAAUCUUGCGCAAUGGGCGAAAGCCUGACGCAGCCAUGCCGCGUGAAUGAUGAAGGUCUUAGGAUUGUAAAAUUCUUUCACCGGGGACGAUAAUGACGGUACCCGGAGAAGAAGCUCCGGCUAACUUCGUGCCAGCAGCCGCGGUAAUACGAAGGGGGCUAGCGUUGCUCGGAAUUACUGGGCGUAAAGGGCGCGUAGGCGGACAGCUUAGUCAGAGGUGAAAGCCCAGGGCUCAACCUUGGAAUUGCCUUUGAUACUGGCUGUCUUGAGUUUGGGAGAGGUGAGUGGAACUCCGAGUGUGGAGGUGAAAUUCGUAGAUAUUCGGAAGAACACCAGUGGCGAAGGCGACUCACUGGCCCAAUACUGACGCUGAGGCGCGAAAGCGUGGGGAGCAAACAGGAUUAGAUACCCUUGUAGUCC
RNAcentral lists this ribosomal RNA (425 nucleotides) under uncultured bacterium. RNAcentral describes it as "partial 16S ribosomal RNA". It matches the Rfam family "Bacterial small subunit ribosomal RNA", at positions 354 to 796 of the family's 1533-position model. The record is from RNAcentral.